This 253-nucleotide ribosomal RNA is filed under the name uncultured bacterium. RNAcentral describes it as "partial 16S ribosomal RNA". It matches the Rfam family "Bacterial small subunit ribosomal RNA", at positions 524 to 776 of the family's 1533-position model. The record is from RNAcentral.
GACGAACCGUGCGAACGUUGUUCGGAAUCACUGGGCUUAAAGGGCGCGUAGGCGGGCUGUCAAGUCUGGGGUGAAAUGCCGCGGCUCAACCGUGGAACUGCCUUAGAUACUGACGGCCUUGAGGAAGGUAGGGGCAUGCGGAACUGUAGGUGGAGCGGUGAAAUGCGUUGAUAUCUACAGGAACUCCGGUGGCGAAAGCGGCGUGCUGGACCUUUUCUGACGCUGAGGCGCGAAAGCUAGGGGAGCAAACAGG